UACGGAGGGUCCGAGCGUUAUCCGGAUUCAUUGGGUUUAAAGGGUGCGUAGGCGGCUUUAUAAGUCAGUAGUGAAAUCCAACGGCUCAACCGUUGACGUGCUAUUGAAACUGUAGAGCUAGAAUUAAGAUGGAGUGGGCGGAAUAUGUUGUGUAGCGGUGAAAUGCAUAGAUAUAACAUAGAACACCGAUCGCGAAGGCAGCUCACUAAACUUCGAUUGACGCUGAUGCACGAAAGCGUGGGGAGCGAACAGG
This 253-nucleotide ribosomal RNA is filed under the name uncultured bacterium. Its description in RNAcentral is "partial 16S ribosomal RNA". It matches the Rfam family "Bacterial small subunit ribosomal RNA", at positions 524 to 776 of the family's 1533-position model. The record is from RNAcentral.